UAGUCCACGCCGUAAACGAUGGACACUAGUUGUUGGGUUUUGGCUCAGUGACUAAGCGAAAGUGAUAAGUGUCCCACCUGGGGAGUACGAUCGCAAGAUUGAAACUCAAAGGAAUUGACGGGGGCCCGCACAAGCGGUGGAGCAUGUGGUUUAAUUCGAUGAUACGCGAGGAACCUUACCAGGGCUUAAAUGUGGUCUGACAGCUUUAGAGAUAGAGUUUUCUUCGGACAGAUCACAAGGUGCUGCAUGGUUGUCGUCAGCUCGUGCCGUGAGGUGUCAGGUUAAGUCCUAUAACGAGCGCAACCCCUAUCGUUAGUUGCUAUCAGGUAAAGCUGAGGACUCUAGCGAGACUGCCGGUGCAAACCGUGAGGAAGGUGGGGAUGACGUCAAAUCAUCACGGCCCUUACGUCCUGGGCCACACACGUGCUACAGUGGUUAGGACGAAGAGUCGCCAACUUGCAAAAGUGAGCUAAUCUCGUAAACCUAAUCUCAGUUCGGAUCG
This 502-nucleotide ribosomal RNA is filed under the name uncultured bacterium. Its description in RNAcentral is "bacterial SSU rRNA". It matches the Rfam family "Bacterial small subunit ribosomal RNA", at positions 791 to 1300 of the family's 1533-position model. The record is from RNAcentral.